This 253-nucleotide ribosomal RNA is filed under the name uncultured bacterium. RNAcentral's name for it is "partial 16S ribosomal RNA". It matches the Rfam family "Bacterial small subunit ribosomal RNA", at positions 524 to 776 of the family's 1533-position model. The record is from RNAcentral.
UACGGGGGGGGCAAGCGUUGUUCGGAAUUACUGGGCGUAAAGGGCUCGUAGGCGGCCAACUAAGUCAGACGUGAAAUCCCUCGGCUUAACCGGGGAACUGCGUCUGAUACUGGAUGGCUAGAGGUUGGGAGAGGGAUGCGGAAUUCCAGGUGUAGCGGUGAAAUGCGUAGAUAUCUGGAGGAACACCGGUGGCGAAGGCGGCAUCCUGGACCGCGACUGACGCUGAGGAGCGAAAGCCAGGGGAGCAAACGGG